RNAcentral lists this ribosomal RNA (1584 nucleotides) under Triticum aestivum (bread wheat). Its description in RNAcentral is "partial small subunit ribosomal RNA". Lineage: Eukaryota; Viridiplantae; Streptophyta; Magnoliopsida; Poales; Poaceae. The record is from RNAcentral.
AUGGCAUAUCGAAUGGUAUGCGCUCCCCAAGUCAUUGAUCUCGAGUCUGAGCGAGGGCAUCCUCAUGUUCAUUCUGAAAGUUUAAUUCACAAUGGGAAUGAUUUGUCCGACCAAGGCAGUCAAUAUACUGUCAGAGUUGUAGGCAAUGCUAUGAAUGCUGGUCUUUCUGAUACACAGGGUUACUACAAUAUGAGCAUGAAUCAUCCACAUCAGCCUGUUCAUAGUUCUCCGCCAAAUUUAGGCGUUGAUUCAGGUUUUGUCUUCCCAUCAAAUAUGUACAACCCUUGCAUGUCAACAUCUAUGAACAGAUAUGUCUCUCAUGCUCAGAGCUUUGGAUUGCCUUUAAACCAAGUUGUCUCAGGAAGUAUGGAUGGAAGUACUAGAAAUGAAAAUGUCAGCGAAACUGCUAGAGGAUUCAUUAAAAGGAAAAAUGCCGCAGUGGCAGGAACUUGUCAUUUUGUUAAUGGAUCUGCAAGCUCAAGCUCAUCCUCUCAUACAUCUCAAAAUCCUACACAUAGGCCAUGGGAUCCUUCUUUUGAGUCAAAUGUUUUUCCUAAUGUCACACCAUUCAACCCAUCAGAAUAUCAUAGCCACAGCACUUGGCCAUCUGUGGAAGGAUCUUCCAUUACUGGAUCAAAUGGGUUUAAUUUGAUGGCUGCUCACCCAGAAUCAGCACAGCAUGGUAACUAUACAUUUCAAUCAAGUCAUGCUAGUCAGUGCUUUCAACCUGCCAGCACUACUUGGGUUUCCCAGGCUGCAACUGGAAUUGUGGAAGGAGUACCACAGUGGUCAUACAUCAAUGCAAUGUCUAGUGUUCCAGCAGGCAGAUUUGCACAUUCAGGGGCCACAGAAAUAGUGAAUGGAGGCUUUCAUGAAUAUCAGAAUGGCCCUUCAACCAUUUCUCAAGGGCAUUUACCUUAUUUUCAUCAACAUGCUGUGCAUAGCAUGCAACCUCAUAAUCCACUGGAUCAUACACGAGUGCAAGUCCCUUACCAACAAGGCCACAAUAAUGGCAUCUUGCAUAGUGGGGUAAAUCAUUCUGGUAACCGGUUCCACUUGAGUCCAAGAACUCCAGGUCUCUUCUCUAAUUCUGAGCGGUCUUUUGGGCCUCCACAGCAUCCGUUCCUGGUGAACCCAGUUAAUCAUAGGAACUUAAGAAUUUUGCCACCUCUGCAGCAUGGUGCAAUCAUGGAUUUUUCGAGGUUGUAUGAGGGGUCAAAUGUAGUAGAUGAGCAUAGAGAUAUGCGUCUAGAUAUAGACAGCAUGACCUAUGAGGAGCUUUUAGCAUUAGAAGAGCACAUUGGAGACGUCAAUACAGGUCUGGCAAAAAGCCACAUUGUAGAUAAAUUGAAGACUAGCUUAUAUGUGCCAGGAGCAACCUGCGUGUCUAAUCAGUCAUCUGAACCUUCCACAGAGAAUGAGGCUUGCAUAAUAUGCCAGGAGGAGUACGAGGCUGAGGACUGCGUUGGAAUCCUGGAUUGUGGCCACAGAUACCAUGCGGUGUGCUUAAAACAGUGGCUGACGGUAAAGAACCUAUGCCCCAUCUGCAAGACAACAGCUUUGUCUGCGGGUAGAAGAAGUUGA